Molecule: long non-coding RNA, 516 nt
Filed under: Physcomitrium patens
Lineage: Eukaryota; Viridiplantae; Streptophyta; Bryopsida; Funariales; Funariaceae
Description: long non-coding RNA (PPAT_LNC012131)
Source: RNAcentral
GUCCUAUCUUCCUUACAUCCCUUGAAUUUGAUUGUAUAGAUGCUCUACUUAUAUUUUCUUCAUAAUUUGAUGGCAAUAGCAAAGCCACUGGUUUGACCUUUCUUGCUAUUGAUUUAUACUUAGUUUCAAUACAUAUCUCUUGGCGACUUAAAUUUUCUAUAAAUCCUUGAAUUUCAUCAUAAAAUUCUUUAGAACAUACAUUAAUAAAUCUAUUUUUUACUUGUAAUCUACAUUUUAAUAUAUAAUUUAAUUUCUUCAUAAUAUUUGUAAAACCUACUUCUUCAUAUGUUACUAAAAAAAAUUCAUUUUCAAUCGACUCUCUAUUUUCUUUCAAGUUUUAUUCAAUCAUUUUAAUAUAAGGUCUGUCCAUCUUUUUCAUCUUGUCAAUAGUCUUAAAAGUCAAUAUACAAUCUUAUGUCAUCCUAAUAAGUUUAGUAGAUAAUAUUUCUUCUUCUAAACUAAGCGGAAGCAUUUCUUUUUUUAAUCCAUUGCAACCACGCUUUACAAUGGUAUGCG